RNAcentral lists this ribosomal RNA (252 nucleotides) under uncultured bacterium. Its description in RNAcentral is "partial 16S ribosomal RNA". It matches the Rfam family "Bacterial small subunit ribosomal RNA", at positions 524 to 776 of the family's 1533-position model. The record is from RNAcentral.
UACGUAGGUCCCGAGCGUUGUCCGGAUUUAUUGGGCGUAAAGCGAGCGCAGGUGGUUUAUUAAGUCUGGUGUAAAAGGCAGUGGCUCAACCAUUGUAUGCAUUGGAAACUGGUAGACUUGAGUGCGGGAGAGGAGAGUGGAAUUCCAUGUGUAGCGGUGAAAUGCGUGGAUAUAUGGAGGAACACCGGUGGCGAAAGCGGCUCUCUGGCCUGUAACUGACACUGAGGCUCGAAAGCGUGGGGAGCAAACAGG